AGAGUACAGGUAUUCGUUGAGAAUGAGAGUACUGAGCGUGACCACUUCAAGCAGUCAUAAGGAAGUCUACCUUCUCGUCGAUGACUAGCUCGAUGCUGUAGUUGUAUGUCUAGUUCUUUGAUCUGAGGUGCAUCGACAGUUCACCUUGAGUGUGUUAUAGUUUGACUACAUCAUAACUCGAUCUCCUAGCCAUUCAAAAUCCUAAGGUGUAUGUUGGCUGUAGCAUAUUCAUUGUAGGAACUAGGUCACACCAAGAUGGGAUCUAUCAACCUCGAUAGAUGAGAGGAGAAGUCCUAUGAUAAUUAGAAAGAUCGAGUCUGUAAGCC
RNAcentral lists this long non-coding RNA (326 nucleotides) under Elaeis guineensis (African oil palm). RNAcentral's name for it is "long non-coding RNA (EGUI_LNC060302)". Lineage: Eukaryota; Viridiplantae; Streptophyta; Magnoliopsida; Arecales; Arecaceae. The record is from RNAcentral.